Long non-coding RNA from Dunckerocampus dactyliophorus (ringed pipefish), 3748 nucleotides. RefSeq lists it as uncharacterized. Lineage: Eukaryota; Metazoa; Chordata; Actinopteri; Syngnathiformes; Syngnathidae. The transcript has 4 exons. The record is from RefSeq and is a predicted model, not a curated record.
UCGCUCACCCGACUACAAGGAAGUCACCUGCGCUUCAUGGCGGCGUUGUGUAAUCGUUCCCGCAUCCACAAAGCAUCGCUCACCGAAGAGUCGUCCAAGGACAGAAAGAGCACCUGCGCACUGGCCGGCAGGUCCUCAACUAGGCUGGACAAGGACGCCUCGGUGCUCCACAGACACUCCAGGAAGGCUGACUUGUUGGUGAAAGCGUGGAUGACCACAGAGCCACUCGUUACUGCUCCAGGCUGGUACACAAACUCCCCACUUAGAGUUGGGACCCUAAACGCAGCAGCCUGGUACCCCGGCUCAGGUGUGCCUGUCAGCCCAGAGCGUCGCAGCGCCACCGAGUCGUCGUGGGCGGCUGAGUCCGCUUGGCUCGCCUCAUAGUCGGUCAACUUCAGCCGCCGCCUCGGUCUCUCCUCGGCUGUUGUCACGUGAGCGUUUAUUACUAGCAACAAGUACAGUAGACAUGAACAUGAACGCGACAUUCUCGCAGACUAAAGACGAGCGUCAGAUAAUAAUAAAGUCAGCAUAAAUUAUGUCUGUGUAUAUGUUCCAUUUGAAGUCGUCUCGGAGUCGUUUUGUUGUCAAGUGUGGCCAUUAGCGGCGUUAGUUUUUGCUAGUUGGGACUGGAGGCGGGUCGAUAGAUUACCACUACGGUGGCUUACCUAGGUCAAAAAGCGUGUACACACCACAUAGCCAUGGUUACCACUUUUAAGCAACUUUGUCUGUGGUGGCUGCGGGCACUGUUGCCACUGAUCUGUAUAAUAUAUCUGGAUAGCUCAUUGGCGAUGAAGCCACACGGCCGCCAUAUUGGCACUCGCAAGAAACACUUCUCGACAAGCUUUUGCAUUCGUGGUGAACUUCUUUUAUUAAUUCGGAUUGGACACAAAUUUAGACUUAAGAUGCCUGCAUGUGCAGCUAUUAACUGCACAAAUCGCCAGUUCAAAGGCUGUGGACGAACAUUUCACUUGUAAGUAUGAUUGAAAUGUAGAUUUAUCAUUGAUCAUUAAAGGGUUUUGCACCGUCGAUCUCUCAGAUAUUUUUUUUCUCCAUGUCCCCUCCGGGGCUCCGUAAUAUAGCUCUAUAAUAGUUAAGAGGAAAUGUACGUACUUUUUUGUUAUAUCAUGAUAUAUGUAUUUCUUUAAGGGAGGAAGGUUACUUGAAGGAAUGGGAGAAUCUCAGUGCUUCCAUGAUGCUUACCAGGCAUUGUAUACAGUGCAGUUAGCAAGCCAGUUUGCAUACAAUUGACCCGGCAUGACCCUUCAUUUGGAUAAACAACCAUUUUUUAUUUGCUGCUGAAUGACUGACGUAAAAGGAUUCAUUCAUAUGAUAUGUUCUGGAAAAUAAUAUUACUGAACAUGCAUACCGGUAUGUUUGAGAUUGCUAACAACGUAUUGUCUUACCCAAAGCAUAUGGUUUUGUUUCAGUGUUGUUGUUUUUUUCUGUGUGUGUGUUGGUGUAUGAGUUUAUGGUUAUUACACAUUAUGGUUAUCACAUAUUAUUCCUGUGGUUUUUGUUCAAAUAUAUUUCUAUAUCAGUAAAGAGCUUAUUUCUAUGCCAUAACACAAACAAAACAAAAAAAUCAGCAAAAUGUGAAAUGAUUUUAAAACUUGUCUCUUUUAUGAUUCAUAUUUUGUACAGAUGAGAGCAUAGUGAAUUGUAUGAAAGUAAGAAUAAAAAGUAAAGGAUCAUGACCAUGGAUUUUAGUGGAAAAAAGGGAUGGGAUAUGCAGUUCAAAUGAAAAUCUCUUUCUAGAGGAGUAAAACUAUCAUUGCUAUAGGGGAGUGCUGAGCCAGGGUGCACAGUAGAAUUUUGUCCCAAAGGCAAUGAGAAUUGGAAGGGGAAAAAGUACAUUUAAUAUAGCCAAAAGAUAGAGAAUAACGUAUCAAAUGGUUUUUAAGGGGCGAAGGUUGCGUUACUUGAAGGAAUGGGAGAAUCUCCCCGCUUUUAAAUGUAAAAUAUACAUUGUAGAUGCUCUGCUAGCCUCUUCAUCUGCUUUGUACACUAUGUACGCUGUGCCAAUGUAGUCGCGAUGUGAGUGGUAAGAUGGCGUCUCUUUGGCUUCAGCGGCUUGCACGGGCGAGUGCGACGUAUGAGCUAUCCAGAUAUAUCAUACAGAUCAGUGACUGUUGUCAACUCCUCAGUAAGAAAAAUAACUAUUGGCUGACCUACAAGUCGCUGAGUGACGCCUUCGGAUAAUUUGCAUAAGACAUUCUAAAAGAUGCUGUAGGAAAAAAAACAUUACCUCCUAGCAAAGACAAAAAAUGUGCGUAAAAACACAUUAAUCACGUCGCACGGCCGAGUGGUUAGCGUGUUGGCCACACAGUCAGGAGAUGGGGAAGACACACUGACAGGUAAGUGACCGAGUCCGAAUUCGGCUUGAGUGUAAUUAGUAGAAAUGUAAUGAAGAUUAAGAAGUGUUCACGUUUUAGAUUCCGCUCUGUAAAACACGGCAAGAUCCACUCCGGCGGCAUGCGUGAUUCAUGGAUGCGUAGAGCUCCACUAUGGCUCUGUGGGCCACAGAAGCUGACUCUGCACUGACGGCAUGUGACCGCUUUGGGGUGGGGAGGACACAAGCUUUCGUUUUUAUUUUAUUCAUUUAUUUUACUUUUAUUUUGUUAUUAUUUUAAAAAGUAUUGAAGAGUAAAUAUCACGUAAAAUACUAAAAUCUAUGUACUUUCAAUGUAAGAAUACUUUCACUAAAAUAUGAGAAUUAUUCAAUGACAAAGUAUUACGAUAUUGUAAUUAUUUGUAUUUUACUUAAGUAUCUAUAUGUGUUUGCAGGAAAAAAAAUGACAUUCUAAAAAUAUAUUAUUCCAAAAAUAUAUUUGCACAAACCAUCACUUUAACCUCAAUAAACGCCUGGUAUGCUCUGUAAUUAAGUAAACGUACGGCGCCAUUGCUAUUCAUAAACACCAACUCAAUGAAAAUUGUGCUUGUAAUGAAGGAGGCUGGUGAGAGAAUUGAUGUCACCAAUGAAGUUAUGUGCAUAAUUGGUUAUAUGCACAGUAAACACCCCCACGGUGCAUCAGCAUCACCGUCAUCACCAGAGGAGCGGCAGUUGCCUGUAUCGGAAUCUAUUCCAUCACAGACACGCAAUUUUUCCCCUAAAUUUCUGAUUAGAGUGAGGUCAAUUUGCAAUGGAGAUUAUUAAACUUCUUUUGUUUCUACUGCUGGCAAAUGUUUGCUGUCUGCAUGGAGACAACCGCAGAAGUGAGAUGAACUACGCAGAGUCUGAGUUCAUUGAGGAUAUUUUGAGGAUGGCAAGAAAACAAGCGCCACCGCAAUAUUUGAGGCUCCCUGGGAAGAAAAACACAGGUGCAAGAAGUCGGACAGCAAGCAACCGUCAAAGAUUUCAAACCUUCGUAGGGUUGAUGGGCAAAAGAAGCUUGGGGUUCCCAACUACAUCGAACAUUAGAGGUCUGCCUGGCAACAGCUGAAGCCCGUGAAGAACAUAUGCACUGAAGACAGUUUCAACCCACAUGGAUAGGAAUAGAUACUGUAUAAUAGAGUAGGAAACGCUGCGUUACCUGGAAGUCGAGAGACGCUUGGCAGCAGACUUUGUCAACCAGCGGCCUCCAGUGGCCAACUCGAAACCUGCACGUCUCUCUGUCAAACGUCUUCCCACUAAGUUCACACAUUCCAGUACGUAAUUAACUCACCUGACUCCACAGUUUGAUCACAGGUUUAUUAAGUGACUUUGUACAAUACAAAUGAAAAAUAACAUUAAAAAUACCGAAAUGGAGUA